Molecule: long non-coding RNA, 1725 nt
Organism: Zalophus californianus (California sea lion)
Lineage: Eukaryota; Metazoa; Chordata; Mammalia; Carnivora; Otariidae
Exons: 8
Source: RefSeq, a predicted model, not a curated record
ACUGGAUUUGCAGCAGAAACACCCUGCUAAAGAACAAGUAUCUUGGUUCACAGCAAAGAGGACAAAGGAAAACAGCAAGUUAUAGGGAGUUGAAUGCUGGAUUGGGUGUCCUCUGAAAGGCCACAUCAACUGCAUCUCAGGACCAUAGACAGUUGAGGAAGAGGAAGGAUUUAUUUGUUUUGCUGUUGUUGCUGACCAUCGGUUAAAAGUUUGCUGUACUGGGACUUAACUCCCCAGAAGGUCCAGACUGCAACUGUGGACACUAAACAAGACCACUCACACCUCAGGGUCAACAAAGAAAUUCUGGAUUGCAGAUCAAAGGACUAAUGACCUGGCUGCUCAGAAAAUCAUUUCAAUUCUUCGUGUCCGUAGCCAUGUAUAACGUCGCCUGAAGGGACCAUAUACUUUAAGGUAUACACUCUAUACAUCACUUAUUGUACACAUAUUUUUUGAGCACGUACUAUGAGCGGGGUACCUGCAGAUAGAGCAGAAAAAUGAAAGAAACUGGAAUUGCUGCUUUCAUGGAGCCUACGUACAGUUGGAGGGAAACAGAUACAAUACGGUGGCCCUUGUAGGUGACCGGUUAUAAACCCAAAGAAGGCUUCCGUGGCCACGGGCAGAGAUAAACAUCCAGGAGUACAGAAGAUCUGUUGGAUUCUAUCAAGGAAAAUUUCUUCCUUGUUUCUGUCUGUAUCUUGUUCCCUCUUUUAAUAUGCAAAUAGUGGUCUGGGUUUGAAUUGUGAUUUCCUCUCUAGCCUCUGCGUUGAUCUCUACUUCAUAAAGCAGAGGAGCACGAUCUAAAAGGAAACAAACUUCUACUUCACUGAGCUGGGUGGUUUUAUCAGGGAAGAUUUCCGUAAGAACUUGCCAUUUGAACGGGACCUUGAAAGAAGCAUAGACUACGACUGGGUUGACUAUAAGAAAGGGUGUUUUAAUCAAAGAGAAUGAUGUGAGCAAAGCUAGGAGACCUGAAGUACACAGGUGUGUAAAAUAUGGCAAAGCUGGAUGUGGCUGAAGCACCAGGGCAUGUACCAGGAGAAGGCUGGAAUCUCACUCGGGGACAAGGAGGUGAAAGCUUUGAAUGGCACUGUUCACAGGGAGGAGGCUUCAGGUUUCUGAGCUGAAGAGCAUGAUGGCAUUUAUUUUGGAAAGAUAAUUCCAUUCGGGAGGAAGAUGACAACAAAAGAGGAGGAAUGGAUGGCUAACACUUGCAUGGCAUUAAAUGUGCUCGUGCUGGGUAGGUCCUAAGUGUUUUCUACGUAUUAACUACUCAAGACAAUGCCAAAAGCACAAAGGAAAGCAUGAUAUCCUGCCAAUAAGACCAAAUAAGCCAGUGUUCACCUGCAGAGCUCAGCGAAGCAGUGCACCCAGGUGGAUACCGAACUAAGAUAAAGGCCAAGGAUGAGGUGGAGUGGCAAAGAGGGGGAAGAAAGAGGGAAGGAAGACAUAGUUUCAAAGAAAAUCAGCAGAAGGAAUUGGCAAAAUGGAAGACCUUAAAGAGAAGAGACUCACAAAAGAGGAGAUACUGAGGUGUUGCAUGAGCAUUCAACAAUACAAAAGACAAAAGAGACAAGUCUUUGUUCUGGAAGGGGGCAAUGAGUGCACCAUCGCUAUGGCCAGAAACUAUGUUAUUUUCUUCACAACCAAACUUAUGGUGACAGGAGUCAUCAUAAAUGAGCCAUGCAAAAAUUUUGGGGGGAAAAAAAUCCCCACAGAAUCAAAACA